This 74-nucleotide transfer RNA is filed under the name Saccoglossus kowalevskii. RNAcentral describes it as "tRNA-Ile". It matches the Rfam family "tRNA". From Rfam's summary of the family: Transfer RNA (tRNA) molecules are approximately 80 nucleotides in length. Their secondary structure includes four short double-helical elements and three loops (D, anti-codon, and T loops). The record is from RNAcentral. Lineage: Eukaryota; Metazoa; Hemichordata; Enteropneusta; Harrimaniidae.
UCCCCAGUGACACAAUCGGUUAGCGCGCCGUACUUAUAAUGCGGAGGUUGUGAGUUCGAGCCUCACCUGGGGAA